AAGGCUCGUAACACCUUGAUGAUGCCUGUUGCGUGGGAAAUCUCGAACGAGCGCAAUGCUAGGAUCUUCCGAAACACCGCCGUCCCCACUACCGUCAUCAUCACCAAGAUUAAGGAUGAAGCCUCUCUUUGGGCUCGUGCGGGUGCAAAGUAUUUGAGUAAUAUAAUGCCGCGAGAGUAA
This 180-nucleotide ribosomal RNA is filed under the name Triticum aestivum (bread wheat). RNAcentral's name for it is "partial small subunit ribosomal RNA". Lineage: Eukaryota; Viridiplantae; Streptophyta; Magnoliopsida; Poales; Poaceae. The record is from RNAcentral.